Molecule: ribosomal RNA, 444 nt
Filed under: uncultured bacterium
Lineage: Bacteria
Description: bacterial SSU rRNA
Rfam family: Bacterial small subunit ribosomal RNA
Source: RNAcentral
UAGGGAAUAUUGGUCAAUGGGCGAAAGCCUGAACCAGCCAUGCCGCGUGCAGGAUGAAGGCCCUACGGGUCGUAAACUGCUUUUGUACGGGAAGAAAUACCUCUACGUGUAGAGGUUUGACGGUACCGUGAGAAUAAGGAUCGGCUAACUUCGUGCCAGCAGCCGCGGUAAUACGAAGGAUCCUAGCGUUGUCCGGAUUUACUGGGUUUAAAGGGUGCGUAGGCGGACUAUUAAGUCAGUGGUGAAAGCCGGUAGCUUAACUAUCGAAUUGCCAUUGAAACUGAUAGUCUCGAGUAUAGUUGAGGUAGUUGGAAUGUAUCAUGUAGCGGUGAAAUGCUUAGAUAUGAUACAGAACACCGAUUGCGAAGGCAGAUUACUAAACUAUAACUGACGCUGAGGCACGAAAGCGUGGGGAUCAAACAGGAUUAGAUACCCCUGUAGUCC